GUUGACUCAUGCAUACUCAAGAAACCCUGUGAAGCAGCCUUGAAAAGAGAUUUUUCUGGCCAAGGUUUGGAACUAGAAUUCUUGGGCCGUCAACAUCCAGCACAGAAUAUGACGACAUAGAGAGAGCCGGUGCCCUGAUCUGGUCUCACACCAUGAGAGGCCUUCUGUGUAUACAUUUUGGGUACCUCUGUUGAUAUGUUGAAACUCAGUCUACCACUGUAGCUCUAGCAAAAAGCUUCCCAUUGGCCCACAGGGCCUCUAGUUGUGCACUCUGUAUACGUGGUUCACCAUGAAAGACAGAACUGGUGGAGAGGACCAUGGACGCUGGAAGCAGUCUCAAAACCCUUUGAAGACAGAAUUCUAAGUCUUUAUGUUCUACAGCAUGAUCUAAAAGGUGGUAGGUCAGGGUGAGCAGCAUCACCUCCAACUAACCUCAUCCCCUUGGACCUGGUAAACUCCUUGUACUUUGGGGAGGAAUGUGGCCAGAGAGAGGACCAUAGUGGAGCCCUUGAAAGCACAGGCUCCAGGGCAAAGUGUUCUUUUGCUCAAUUAUAUGGGCAUUCUUCUUAUGGGUGUAGUUAUUUGCUUAUUGCUAUGUAAUGAUUUGGAUUUAAUAAUGCUAUAUUGAAAGUGCAAUGGCCUACAGAACUGAGGGAUCACGUUUUAGCUUAAAUUCAAUAGAAAAAAAUGACUCUUUUAUAAAAAAAAGUAUUUAAAUUUGUAAAUUGUCAUCCCUAUCCACUAAGGGAUAUUAAAUGUAUUAAAUGCUGGGAAAUAUAUAUGCACAUAUAUAUUUAUAUAUGUAUGUAUG
Homo sapiens (human) is the source of this 811-nucleotide long non-coding RNA. The record is from Ensembl. NCBI's taxonomy places the organism in Eukaryota, Metazoa, Chordata, Mammalia, Primates, Hominidae.